Impatiens glandulifera is the source of this 81-nucleotide small nucleolar RNA. NCBI's taxonomy places the organism in Eukaryota, Viridiplantae, Streptophyta, Magnoliopsida, Ericales, Balsaminaceae. The record is from RefSeq and is a predicted model, not a curated record.
CUGUGUGAUGGAACACAGAAGAAGGUGCACCAGAUUGGGGAGAGAAAGAUGUCCCCAAAGAUCGACCAUUAUUGUCAGGAA